UACGGGGGGGGCAAGCGUUGUUCGGAAUUACUGGGCGUAAAGGGCUCGUAGGUGGCCAACUAAGUCAGACGUGAAAUCCCUCGGCUUAACCGGGGAACUGCGUCUGAUACUGGAUGGCUUGAGUUUGGGAGAGGGAUGCGGAAUUCCAGGUGUAGCGGUGAAAUGCGUAGAUAUCUGGAGGAACACCGGUGGCGAAGGCGGCAUCCUGGACCAACGCUGACGCUGAGUGAGCGAAAGCCAGGGGAGCAAACGGG
Molecule: ribosomal RNA, 254 nt
Filed under: uncultured bacterium
Lineage: Bacteria
Description: partial 16S ribosomal RNA
Rfam family: Bacterial small subunit ribosomal RNA
Source: RNAcentral